GAGGAGCGGGUGCCGUACAAAUGCCUUUAUAAUUCACAGCGUGUGCAACCACUUGUAUUCUGUGGGAUCAGAAUAUCCUGAGCUGGAACGGGAACGGACCCUCAGGGAUCACCCAGUGCGACCCCGUUGCUGCGACAGAUCUGAUGGAGCGUUUUAAGGGAUGGAUGCUGCUCUUUGCAGAGUUCCUCAUGAGACCGUGGCAAACCUCCCUGCAAUCAUCUCUCCAAUUUGUGGCUGUUCCCGUGAGUUUCUGCUCCAUUUUCUCACUCCCGGAGGCUCUACAGGGACAUCAGGGCUCAGCAGGGGCUCCUCUUCCCUUACCCUGUGAUAAAACUUCUCCAGGAGUGCUCUGUCAACCUGUCUGUCUCCUGGUUAUAUUUCAGUUGACUAAAAUAAGCAAAUGCAAUGUAUACUGGGGAACGCUGGAGAAAAGGACUCAGCAAAAGAAAAGAUAAUGAUAGUGCUGAGUUUCCUGGAAUCCCACUGAGAGGCUGAUUUAAGCAAGAAAAACAAACCCCUUUUGCUGUUUCCUUUCCCUGGAUUUGUUGAUGAGCAAUCUUUAGUUCACCCCAGGUCCAGCUUUGCUUCCACUCCCCAGCUCUCCUCUGUUAAUACCUCACAUAUGGCACGGCUCAGGUGUGAAAGGACAAUGCUGGCUCACAUCCAUGGAAAGGAUCGGACUUUAUUCCCUGUCUGGGUGAGGCUUACUUACCUCAGCCACUGAAACCAGGCAGGGAACAGCAUCCUUCCCAUCUUCACCAAGCCUGUACUUCUGUAAGCAGGUGGCACAAAAAAAAAAUAAAUGAAAGGGAAAGAAACAAAAACUAUCCCUCAGGAGCUGCUGCUCCUUUCAUGGGAGGAGAAAGAGUGUGGAGCAACAGGAGAGGGUUUCCUGCUCUUGACAGGGGUUGUGCCCUGUGUGAGCUCACAGAGAGCAGCCCCAUCCCUCCCUUCCUCCCUCCCUUUUUUUCUUUAACAUAUGUGCUUUCUAUGGGCACUUUAAUCAAACUCCAGAUGGGUUGUUUCAGUCAGGGGAUUUGUGCUGCUCUGGAGAUAAGAGUCCUUUGUGCUGGCCUAGGUAGCAAGAGUGUUUGUGAUAACUGGAGCUGAUACCAGGAGAUGUCCAGGUGGUCUUAUUUAACAGGGAGCAUUAGUGAUACCACCAUUGUCCAGGAAAUCAGAUAAAACUGGGUCCAGGUGUUACCCAACACCGUGUUUGUGUAAGGACAGUACCAACUGCUGCCUGCACUGAGCCCCAGAGCAGCACUGCAGAGGGGGGGGUUCUUGUACAGGAUCCCCAUCACCCCCAAACUUCUCGGGGUGCACCAUUGAAAGGGAAAAAUUUAACCAGGAGUUGGACUUGGAUGAUCCUUGUGGGUCCCUUCCAACUCAGGAUAUUCCAUGAUCCUAAGCUGAAUAUCAAGUGAGCUUCACACUGAAUAUAAGAUCACUCUUGGAUGUCCUAAACUGAAGAAUUUCACUUAAACCAUCACACAUUUUCCUCUCUGCCCUCCCACAGAGAGGUCUCUAACGAAAACAUUUGGGGAGUGAGAUGAUUUAGAAAUAAAAAUUCAGGACAAUUCACUCUUCUGCCCAGGCUAAUUAGAAGAGAGGAGGAAUUGUACAGAUGGAUGAACUGGAGAGAGGAGACAGUUUGGGAAGUGCUAACCUGGACUGUAAUUUCAGGUGACAAGGACACUUUUCAGUCCUCGUUCUGGAGUGACACUGCACAGUGACACACCAGCUGCAGGAAGGGAUUUACCACAAAUCAUUGCUAGAAAAUCACAUAAAAAUCAAGACAAAAGAAGUAUGAGCGAGACCUGAACUCUUCUUGUGGUUUUACACUCAGCCAUUCCCUUUUAAGAGCAGGGUAUUUAGUAGGAAGCAUAAAUUCCAGGCUCAGAGUCGUGCAAUGUCUAGACUCCAGCUCGUGGGAUCUGUCUCCGUGGGGCCAUAUUUCUCACCGUGAUAUUUUUCAGGACACCUCUGCUUUGUCCCAGAGAUUUCAGGGAUGUGGAAGCUCCCGGCUCCUCGUACCAGUGGCAGCUGGGAGGCUGCUGGAGUUCCUUGGUAAUUGUUUGUAUGGAUGGGAGCUCAACUUAGCUGCAGAGCACGGGGGGAAAAGCCUGGUUGGAAGGAGCGGGGACUUUUGGCCCCCAGCUGUGCCAGAACAGGCUCAUCACCGAGAGAUCCCCAGCUGCACUUCCAGGCUGUAAAUUAAACAAACAGUGUUUCCUCUAGACCAGACCACAGGGAUGGCAGAGAGAACAAUGUGGCCUUAUUGCUGUUAUUUCCUUUGGUUUCAAUCUCUGUCCUCUGCCCCCACCUCCUCCCCAGACCCGUGGUGCCCACUUUACCCGAUUUGCCAUUUAUUACACUGCUUUAAAGAGAGGCAGGGGGAAAAAGGCUCAGUGCAAAUUAUAUUUUGAGCUGUUGUGCUUUGCCUCUUUGGUGGAUAAUAAAUCUCUCUGGCAAUGCU
Long non-coding RNA from Pipra filicauda (Wire-tailed manakin), 2479 nucleotides. RefSeq lists it as uncharacterized. Lineage: Eukaryota; Metazoa; Chordata; Aves; Passeriformes; Pipridae. The record is from RefSeq and is a predicted model, not a curated record. The transcript is spliced from 3 exons.